Salmo salar (Atlantic salmon) is the source of this 857-nucleotide non-coding RNA. The record is from RefSeq and is a predicted model, not a curated record. Lineage: Eukaryota; Metazoa; Chordata; Actinopteri; Salmoniformes; Salmonidae.
UUCUAUCAAAUCACACUGUGAGAUUAUAAUGAGGUUCAUGUCAUUUUUGCACUUUGCACAAUUAUUUUGCAAUAAGACAUUUGUAUACAAAAGGAUGUUAGUGAUAUAUCUUGUUUCUGUUUCACCUCUUACAUUGUUGUAGAAUCCACUAACAGGACUACACAAGUCAUGUUAGUGGAACUCCCACCAGUUUUACCUUUAGGCUGUGUGAUUCCCACCAACAGGUUCCACUAAGAAACAACAGGAAUGAUGAGGUGAAGGAUGAACUUGCAGAUGCUGCGUUUGUGGAUAAGCACAUGAGUGCACUAAUCAAGAGGGUCACAAUGGUAAUGGCUAUAGCAGAUGACCUACUGGGAGAGGACAUGAUCCAAGAUUAAAUGUAUUUGGAUAUUAAUGCAGCCGAGACCAGUGAGAAAAAAAUGAGAGUUCUGUACAAGGCUCUACGCUCAGGAGGACCACUGAUUAAAUCAGCCUUCUACACAGCUCUCCAAACUAAUGAACCUAAUCUUGUCAAGGACUUGGCUUCCCCCUGAUAACAGACCUGGCUUGGGUUGGUCCUUCAAGUGUUGGACAAAGGACAGCAAGCAGUCUCACUGGCUGUGGGACAGCAGCGGAGUUACUACUCUCCUAAUGCCCUAUGGGUGUUGGGGGAUAUAACCAACUAGCUCUAUCAUCCUCUUUUGUUGUUGUGGCUUUAUGCAAACUGGAACCUGUGCACUUGCAAUCUGUUGUAGCCUUGUACUUUGUUUUCAUCUGAAUGUUUUAUGUGUUUUUGUUUUUGUCAAACCCCAAAAGUUUGUCACAAUUUAUUUGACCAGAGGACAAUACCAGUGGAAACAGUGCCAUGAAGUAAAGUG